RNAcentral lists this ribosomal RNA (396 nucleotides) under Chaetoceros curvisetus. RNAcentral's name for it is "partial Bacterial small subunit ribosomal RNA". It matches the Rfam family "Bacterial small subunit ribosomal RNA", at positions 493 to 889 of the family's 1533-position model. Lineage: Eukaryota; Bacillariophyta; Thalassiosirophyceae; Chaetocerotales; Chaetocerotaceae. The record is from RNAcentral.
CCGGCUAACUACGUGCCAGCAGCCGCGGUAAUACGUAGGGUGCAAGCGUUAUCCGGAAUUAUUGGGCGUAAAGAGCUCGUAGGCGGUCCGUCGCGUCUGGUGUGAAAGUCCAUCGCUUAACGGUGGAUCUGCGCCGGGUACGGGCGGACUGGAGUGCGGUAGGGGAGACUGGAAUUCCCGGUGUAACGGUGGAAUGUGUAGAUAUCGGGAAGAACACCAAUGGCGAAGGCAGGUCUCUGGGCCGUCACUGACGCUGAGGAGCGAAAGCGUGGGGAGCGAACAGGAUUAGAUACCCUGGUAGUCCACGCCCUAAACGAUGUCAACUGGUUGUUGGGUCUUCACUGACUCAGUAACGAAGCUAACGCGUGAAGUUGACCGCCUGGGGAGUACGGCCGC